RNAcentral lists this long non-coding RNA (8943 nucleotides) under Lactuca sativa (garden lettuce). Its description in RNAcentral is "long non-coding RNA (LSAT_LNC006445)". Lineage: Eukaryota; Viridiplantae; Streptophyta; Magnoliopsida; Asterales; Asteraceae. The record is from RNAcentral.
AAAAAGUAGUUUUCCCUUAUCGCUAUCAUUAUCAAAAUACAGAAAUUGAUUAUUAAAGAAAGCAAGAGAAAUCAGGGAAAUAACAUAUGCCUCAGCAGUGAAGACUGCUGACUAAGGCAAAGGAAUCAUAGACUCUAGGAGAGUAUCGAGCAAAUAACAUGCCUGGCUCAGUCUAACAAAGAGAGACACAGACCCCAGACGGUACCAAAUGAAAGGUACGGCUAGCAAGGUCUAAAAACAGAGACUACAUACCCCAGACAGUAUCAAAUGAAAGAUACAGCUAGCAAGAUCUAAAACAAGGAAUACAGACCCCAGACAGUAUCAAAUGAAAGAUAUAGCUAGCAAGGUCUAAAACAAGGAAUACAGACCCCAGACAGUAUCAAAUGAAAGAUACAGCUAGCAAGGUCUAAAAACAGUGUGACUCUGAGAGUGGGUUUUCAGCAUUCAGUGUAAAAUACAGUGUGAAAUAUCGUUACCUUAAGGCCAUGAAUUAUAAGGUAACCUGGGAUACUCGUAACCAUACUAACCGACACUAGAGUACCUGACGCCCUGCAAGCGUCUAUAAAAUGUGACAUUUGUCACCCCUUGGCUUGGUAGGCCGUGUACUGUAGCUAGCAGUCAAGGUGCGGGGGUGUCAAUUCCAUAUAGAUCUAUACACACAUUGUCCGCUCUCCCUACAGGAGACUCUGGUUACCAACUAGACGACGGAGAAGGUCGUGUCCCGAAGAUGCAUCCCUAAUAGUGGGUAGUGGGUUUCCAAUAUAAGUGUUGAACUAGAGGUAGAGACUCAUAACUGAACUGACUAGAGUAAACCUAUAUGGCUAUGCUCGUAUACAUAAUAUAUAACUAAUGAAUCAAACGACCUUUGGACGGACAUCCGAUCCCACCAGACCACAUUUCAACGAAGAAAAGGAAAUAGGGUGGACAAACCUUCCUAAGUCCUUCAACCAUUAUUUAUAUGCAUCUAUACAAGCACAGGCAUACAUCUAACUACGUUUGAGUGUGUAACAAGUGGAAACAUAUCGUGAAGUAUAACCAAAUCAUGAGGUAUAAGAGAAUCAUGUGUAAUAACCGAAUCAUGAUGUGAAGUAUAAGUGAACAGUGUGGAAUAACCGAAUCGUGAAGUAUAAGUGAGCAGUGUGGAAUAACCGAAUCGUGAAGUAUAAGCGUACCAUGUGGAAUAACCGAAUCGUGAAGUAUAAGUGAAUAGUGUGGAAUAACCGAAUCAUGAAUUAUAAGCGUACAGUGUGGAAUAGCCAAUCGUGAUGUAUAAGCGUACAGUGUGGAAUAACCGAAUCAUGAAGUAUAAGUGUACCAAAUAUAAGUGUAUCACAAAGUGGAAGCGACAACAAGUGAAGUAAGAGUGUCUAAUAGGCAUAAGCGACUACAAGAAUAAGCGAAAUAGAGGCAAUAACAAGUAUAAACGCAUCACGAAGGGAAAGCGUUAUCAAGUAGGAGUUUAAACUAAGAGGGAGUAUCAAAACAUGGAAGAAAACCUUUAUACUUGAGAAAAUCACAACUUGGUGUUCUUUGGUAAAAUAAGUUUGAAAACCUUUGGAAAUCCUUUGGAAACCUUUCAUAAAUCAGUUUAAAAUGAACUUUGAUAUAACAGUAUAAGUAAGAUUUUGAACAAGUGAAAACAUUUUAGAAAACCAUUUAUAGUAUCAUACUCGGUAAAACAGUUUACAGUGUGGUAAAUCCUUGUGCAUGCUGGUUAUCAAUCACAUGUGAUUGAUAUGAUAACUGGCAUGUUUAACUUGUAUUCGCCCUUAUAAAACAUGUAAAACAUUUAAAUGGUUCAUUCAGGGUUAUGAACUCACUUGGUGUAAGUGGAUCCGACGAAGGUGUCGGUUGGGUGCUCGGUGUCAAGUAAAGACUUGGACACACUUAGUGACCUAUUUAACAUAUGAUAACAUAUGUUCACAUAUAAUUAGUACAUUUAAUACUAAUUAAACAAGUAUAUGGACUCUAAGGAGUGAAAAACACUUUGGUUAAGUGUUUGGGGUGUCCCGGGUAACAUUUAAGGGUGUGAAUGGCUUAGGAAUGGAGUUUACUCUUUAAGAGUAAACUCUAUACACUUAGUUUAUGUCCCUGGGACAACUCUCCAUGAGUUUACGGCCGUAAACUGAUGGUGAGGGUGUUUUAGGAUGUUUAAAGGCUCUAUCUUGAUCGUGGAAUUUUUCUAGGUCCAAAUCUAAAUUGUAUGAGUGGAUUUAAGGGGUUUAAAGGGACCAUAUGGGAGUUUACGGCCCAUGAACCACCCCUAUGGGAGUUCACGGACGUGAACUCCUACCCUCUUGAUUUUAUGGAAGUUUAAGGCCCUUAUUUCAAUCCUAGUAAUUAUUCAAGGCUAUAGGGUGUUUGGUGUUCCAAAAGUGCACUCCCUUGGAGUUUAUGGUCCAAAUGACCACUCCUUGGGAAUUUACGGCCGUAAGCUCUUGGCUUGGCCUUGAACUCUCAUGCACCCCUUUAAACUUUGAUUUUAAGCCCUUGUUUCAACCCUAGCAUUUUCUAGUGAAGGUAUAAGGCCAUUUAGGGGACAUAACCUAUCAUUUGACAUGGUUUGGGGGUGGUUACGGCCUAAGAAUGUGCUUGGGCCGUAAACUCCUUUUUACCCCUCAUUUCUUAGUGUUUAAUUGUUCCAAACCCGAAAUAUUAAGUCCCUAUUUUAUGUCUUAAGCCUAAGGGUGGUUUGGGAGUGUUUGGAACUUGUUUUAACAAGUUUAGAGGGUGUUUACGGCCUAAGCAUGUGCUUGGGCCAUAAACCCUCUUUUAAGUCCCAAAAAUUGAUUGUUUUAUGGUUCAAACAUCCCUAGGCUAAAUCCCCAAUUGGUUUCUAAGCUUCAAGGGACAAAUUCGGGUCAUUUUGGCCACUUUUUAGGGGUUUACGGCCCUAUAGUGAUCUUGGGCCGUAAACUCCUCUUUGUCAGCUUAUAUGGUCGAAUUUUGAGCUAUAAUCACAAGCCAUGAUGUUUAGAAUAGUUUAGGGUAAAGAGACUUACGUUUUGGAAGCGGAAAUUCACGGUUUUGAGUCGAAAACGAGCUUUAUGAGAGAGAGUAUAGAGAGAGAGAGAGAGUGAAAAGGGGUGUAAUGAAGUCCAUUCCCCCUUAUAUAUGGGUUGGAGUUGGAGUUCAGUGGAAAUCUACCCGAUACUGUCGUUAUAAGGGGAUUUUGGUCGCACCCGAUUUAGUGGUCGCAAUGAAAUUUAACUUUUUCCAAAUUACUACGAAAAUGUAAUUUAAGUGUUUUUAUUUACUUUAUUACGACUAUAACGACAUAAAACAUAAAUAAAUAAACAUUUAUUUAUUUGACGACCUCUUAUUAACGGAACUUUUAUAUAGUGGAAUAUUCUGUUAACGGAAACGGGGUAAUGUAACGGAAUAAACUUUGGGUUGUCACAUCAUCCCCCCGUUAGAGGGAAUUUCGUCCCGAAAUUCAGGUCUAGGCAAGGGAGUAGGUAUGAAUGAUAGAGGCAGGAGGGUAGUUCCUAUUCAGUUUGUCCUCGCAUUCCCAAGUGAACUCUGGUCUGUGUUUGUCAUUUCAACAAACCUUCACCUACGGGAUGCGGAUUCCGUCUCGUGUAGUUAGUUGGUUCCGACUAGUGUAUCUACGAGGUUAGGGUUCUCACUGGUUUCUAUCUGGAUGAGUGGGAUACGAAGAGUGACGUCGGGUAAGCACAUAUCAAGUCUAAGGAGUGGAUCGAUCGGGUGUGAAACUUGUGGAAUAUUCGGAAGUAGUAGUGGUCUGACGAGGGUUGGACCAAAUCUCUGUGAGGAUUCUCAGAUGGUCCUAAGCUCUCGGAGGGGUAGAGCUUUUCAGUACUUAGAACAUAGUGUACUUCUAUGGAAAGAUCAUCACUGGCAUGACCGCUAUCCCGAAGUUCCUAAUGUUCUCUCCCAUACUGGUAGUGUAGUCCUUCAGGUUGGUUCUUAGGAAGCUCAAGUUGUCCUUGGUUUCGCGUUUUCCUGUCAAUUGGCUUUUAGAGGCUUUCUAGGUCAUCGAAUGGGUUGUGUGACUACAGUUUUCUGUUUGCUGUAGAGUGUCUAUCUCAAGCUCGUGCAAAAUGAACCUACACAAUGAAUCUUGAGAUAUUUCUAACGGAAACCCUCGGGGUCAGGGAGAUAGGGUUUCACCAGACGAGUGUUGGACUAUCUCAGGAGAUGGUCCUACUAUCUCUGCGUGAGAUAGUAUUUGUGGAACACCUAAUAGUCCAAUAAAUCUCUAAGACUUUGGUUUAUUCUAGUGCGGAAAGCGCAUGCUCCUGCAUAACCCCUCGACUAACACCAAGGCUGGUGUCAAGUCUAAAAUCUCUUCGGGAUCUGGGUCAUGAGGCUUAACGCAACUACUUUCGCACUCGAUCAAGUAUUGUUGGCUGUGGAGGUUAUCUUAUGGUUCUCGACAUUCUAGUGUUUACUUCGGAGAAUGCAGUCUAUCGUCUACAAGGCGUCGAUGACUUCCUCCAUGAGAGAGGACGGAGGAUCCUAGGCACUACUCGUCGGUAAUAAGUGGACAAAGUGCCUGAGUAGUGCGAGCAUCUACUGCAACUACUCUUCUGAAGGUUCUAAGUUUUCUUAGUCUAGGUCAAAUCUAGUGAGUAUAGGGUUCCAUUACUCGGAACUUUAAUCGAUUCACUAACUGAGGGUGUUAGUUAUCAUGUGAGCUUAACCGGUAUGACAACAAAUUUCGGAUUUGUGUCAUUAUUGUAGCUCAACCCGCAGUGGUUCUCUUGACUCCAGCUCCUAUUUUAUGGAAUAGGAUGAAGGGUUUUACUAUGAGGUUCGUGGUAGAGCUCAUACUUGGCUUAACUACUAAUACUUGGUGUAUGCAGGCCGUAUAUAAUUGAGGUUGGCAGGAUGUUCAGUUGUGCGACUCCACCCCUAACCCACAACCUAACGAGGAACAGGGAUUAGGGAGGAAGCACACAUCUUAAAUCUUUUUGAUCUCAACUAUAUACCACCUUUAUGCAUAUGCCUGGUUAUAGUGGUCAGUCUCAUGAGUUCUAUCCUCUGGGUUCACGAACCUGAUGUGCGAGGUGCGAAGGGUCUUUCUGGGGAAUGUACGAAGUAUGCUUCGGAUGGUUAUUGUCUUCUGGAGUAUCUUGCAGUGUCUUUCGCUUCGGUUUCCAUAUGACUAAGAGGGGUCGGUUAACAGCACGAGGUACCCUUCUCCGGGUACUUCGGAAAGUUUGAGAUAAGAGGGAAGACUGACGGGUCGUAUUAGGUUUGAUUAUUUGUAUUAUGUUUAGGUUUGGAAGAACCUUUAUUUGCCAACAUGGCUACGGAGAAAGUUCUUUUUACACAGCACUAGGGAUGUACACAUGGUUGCACUACGUCGAACCAUGAUCGAUAGGGUCGUCGAAAUUUGCAUACUUCGACAUGACAUAAAAUGAGGGUCGAUAGAUUCAUGCGCCGAUCAGGCACACAAGUUCUAAGAAUCUCGGGUUUCGUCCUGUGUAUCACUGCUGCGGAUACUUGGACCGAUAGAGUCGACGCGGAACUUUUAGAGAGUCCUAAGUGUUUCCGAGUAGAGUACCUUUUCAUGAAUGGAUUCUCACGAGGCAUUUCUAUAAUCGCCUAACAUAUACUAGUCAUGUAUAAUUAAGGUGGGGAGGACUGUUGACUGAGCGACUCCGCCCUAAAUCCACAACCAAACGAGGAACAGGAAAUGAGGCGGCAUUCACUCACUCUAGGUCUAUCCAUCUUAACUAUACGUGGUCGUAACGUAUAUGUUUAGCCAUUAUAGUUUUACCUGAUGAAUUUUUAAAUUUUAUAACAGUGCUGCGACUUUCGCCUUACUGGGAAAAUAUUUACAUUUGAAUUAGCCUUUUAAUGUUUUGCGUUAGUUAUCUGAGAUCGAGAGACGUGCCAAAAAUCUAUCGGGUUCCUGGAUGCUCCUCCUUAAGCAGUAGAGUUAGGCUCCUCCUGUGUCCUUGUUGUUUCCUUCAGUUGGGCAAUCUCUUUUGAAGUGUCCAAUCUCACCACAUAGUCGGCAAACUGGAUUGGCCAUCGCAUUGGUGAUUAAUGCAAUACGCUCCACCGGAGCUCUGCAUACACGAGCAGUAUGCCCCUUCAUGUUGCACCUAGCACAUAUGAGUUCUCGGCAGACACCAUGAUGAUGGUAGCUGCACUUGCUGCAGUGGGGGAGGUUUCCUAGGUAUGGUCUUCUUGAAGCCAGGAGGGAAGGAUUGACAGGAGUAUUGAUUGCCUCAGCUCGUUGCCCUUCGGAAGGUCCUUGAGCCGAGGUACCUCCCUCCUCGAUCUUGAGUUUUCUCUUUAGUGGAUUCGGUUGAGGUUCUUGGGUGGCUGGGUAUGCAGGUGUUGGUUUCUGAUGUCCAUUGCUAGGAUUGGAAUUUCCGAUAGGGCUCUUGCUAACAUGGGCGUUGUUAGCAUUCAGGUGAGCCAUGACAGCUGCUACGGCUGCUGAGACUGCAGCUUGGAAUGUAGCUACAUCGAAUAAAAGAGUAGGUUUCUUGCUUGCGGACUGGUUACGCUUCUUCAGUGGCAUGGUUUUCUACAUGGAGAGGAAUGAGAGACGAUGGCUAGCCCUGGACAUAUCUGUCAUGACUGCAUUAGGAAUAAAUUUUUCCCGUGCCUCAGGUACUGGUUGUCUGAGUGUCGACCUACAUCCCUAUGAUGUAGUCCUGGUGUGCAAGGUAGGAGUAUGAGUAUCGGAAAAAGGCCAUAAGAUGCGAGUCGUUCCUACUACGUUACCUUUAUACUGGGAAAGGUUUCACUCUCUGGUCUGGAGAGAUUUGAGAACGGCUCGGAACGAAAAUCACAGAAAGAGAGGCUCAUGAAGGCUUAUGGCUAGAUACUCUCAAUAAAGGUGCGGGGAUCCGCUCUAAUCGUGUAACUGGAAACGGGAAACGAUGAUUUACCUAACACAUAGCGUGAGUAGUGUAACCACUAACUCACUAAAUUGUAUUAUUUUAAGGGUGUAUUAGCGUGACGAACACGAGGGUAAGACACUUCUUGGGUUCCAUGUACUAGCUCCUUCUAUCUGCCUGGUAUCUUUGACUGGAAUCGGCGUUGGUUUCCUUCGGGUAGUUACCUAGGGUUCUCUCCUCGUAUGGACAUAUUGAAUUUCUACUCCGCCUUCCUUCUGAUUCCGACUCUGAGUGUCAUCACUUCAUGAUGGAUGACUGGGAAUCUCAGAAGUUUAGGCGAAUUUCUCACCAAUGUCCCUAAAAAGAUAUAGGUACUUGGUGAAUUCAAUGGUCUCAACCCAGUUCAUUUAUUUCCGAACAUGAAAUCUUCUUAAUGAACCUCUUCUGGGUCUGUAUCAACUCUUCUAUCAAGCACUGAAGUGGAUAGGGUUGUCUACAGGGUUCAUGCGAGAAUGGAAAUGUCUAAAGAAUCCUAAGAGAUUAUUAACAUUUCACUGGAUGAUCCAUAUCGAGUCCUGCUACGAUUACACAGCGUACACAAAUCAUAUAUAGCUUGGAUCCGAUAGGCCUUCGAAUAUGUGAUACUAAUCAACAUCCACAUCCAAACAAGGAAAAGGAAGUAGAGCGAAACCACACAUUCUUAGCCUAUGGGAUCCUUAUUAUAUAUAACCCUGGGAGUAUACCCUCUGUAGUUGUAGGUAUAUCAAUAAGGAUCUUUUUAGUUCUCACACAAGGUUAUCUAUGCAUCCUAAAAUACCCCUAUGGUAUUUUAAUUUCUUGUUUGUUCUCUUAUCCUCUGAAUAUGAUUCUGGGAUUAGUGUGAAUCUUUUAGUGUUCCAAAAUACUCCUAUAGUAUUUAAAAUUUAUGUUUGGCUCUAACAUUCCUAGUUGGUAAGUUUCAGACCUGUUGCACACCACUAUCACUCCCAAGCACAUGUUCAUCGCAUCUCGAAUAAAUGUAGUUGAUUAGGUUACAUUUAUUCCAGCUUACGAUUACAUAACUGCCCAGGUUUCACGGUAAUGCUCAACAUCCGAAGACUUUUAUUAUCGUUCUUCUUGUGAUACUUGUGUUCGAGUGUUUAGGUUCUGGAUGUUCUUAUACUUUGGUAAAAUAUGGUUAUAUUUUAAAGUAUAAUUCUUGGUCAGAGUGUUUUAUCCCUUUUGUAUUUAUAGGCUGUAUAUCUUUUAUGAAUUGAUAUACUUAGCUCACUAUAAACAAUGCUCUGAUACCAAUCCGUCACACCCCAAAACCGAAACGGCGGAAACGUUCUGGGGUGGAUGACGUCAUGUCAAGUAUCACAACACAUGCAUUAUAGUAAUCAAAGUACAAAAAAACAUUGCAUUAAUAGUAAUAGUUUUACAUGGUUUACAUUACAAUACAUCAAAGUAAUACAAGUAAAUAUAAUAAGUACAGCAUGGUACUAAGCUAUCUUCAUCAACAGCUCCGGGGAUGUACCUGUCUAAUGCUGACCUGAGAAUACAAGUUAUUUGAAAAGCGAGUAUCAGCAUUUUUACAAAUGCUGGUGAGUUCAUAAGCAUUUACUGUCAUUUAGUCAAAUAACUUUAUAAAGUAGUAGUUUAAGAGUUUACAGUGUAUUAGAGUUCUUUCUAGAAAAUCCUAUAUUUUCUUUUAUAAAAGCAGCCUUCUACCAAGACUGGAUGGAGUUAUGUGGUAAAAAGUAGUUUUUCCUUAAUCGCUAUCAUUAUCAAAAUACAGAAUUUGAUUAUUAAAGAAAGCAAGAGAAAUCAGGGAAAUAACAUAUGCCUCAGCAGUGAAGACUACUGACUAAGGCAAAGGAAUCAUAGACUCCAAGAGAGUAUCGAGCAAACAACAUACCUGGCUCAGUCUAACAAAGAGAGACACAGACCCAAGACGGUACCAAAUGAAAGGUACGGCUAGCAAGGUCUAAAAACAGAGACUACAUACCCCAGACAGUAUCAAAUGAAAGAUACAGCUAGCAAGGUCUAAAAACAGUGUGACUCUGAGAGUGGGUUUUCAGCAUACAGUGUAAAGUACAGUGUAAAAUACAGUGUGAAAUACCGUUACCUUAAGGCC